CAGUAGCCGACCUGAGAGGGUGAUCGGCCACAUUGGAACUGAGACACGGUCCAAACUCCUACGGGAGGCAGCAGUGGGGAAUAUUGCACAAUGGGCGAAAGCCUGAUGCAGCAACGCCGCGUGAGUGCUGAAGGACUUCUGGUCGUAAAACUCUGUCCUCAAGGAAGAUAAUGACGGUACUUGAGGAGGAAGCCCCGGCUAACUACG
This 207-nucleotide ribosomal RNA is filed under the name Clostridioides difficile. Its description in RNAcentral is "partial 16S ribosomal RNA". It matches the Rfam family "Bacterial small subunit ribosomal RNA", at positions 281 to 505 of the family's 1533-position model. Lineage: Bacteria; Bacillati; Bacillota; Clostridia; Peptostreptococcales; Peptostreptococcaceae. The record is from RNAcentral.